Long non-coding RNA from Oncorhynchus tshawytscha (Chinook salmon), 1489 nucleotides. NCBI's taxonomy places the organism in Eukaryota, Metazoa, Chordata, Actinopteri, Salmoniformes, Salmonidae. The record is from Ensembl.
GUAGCUAUGAAAAAGCGAGAGCCGUAUUCUCAAGUAGCACUGUGGUUGUCCUCAUUUUUGUCCAACACACAGAGACAAUUGUCCUCUUCGGGGUAUAGAGUCUUUAACUGCAGUGUGUUGACAUCACAAGAUAAAUCAGUAUUCAGUUAUCAUCACCAUAAUUACCUAUCUCUACAGUCUACUGCAUUUAGUUUUUUAACAAUCGUUCUGGGGUAUCUAAUGUAUUUCUGUAUUUUAUUUUCUGUCGGUGUAAAUUGAAUUUUAUAUACAAGAGGGCGCUCUAUAUUGACUUUAGUUAAAUGUCAUAAUAAUGAUAUGAUAGACACAAUGGAUUAAAAGAAGUCAAAAAUACUAUGUAACACAGCGGGCUGGGCCCUCUUGCAUUCGCAUUGUUAUGAGAACUAAUGUUGUGUCCCAAAAGGCACCCUGUUCUCUACCCCGUAAGCAACUUUUUGUUCCCUAUGGGCCCUGGUCAAAAGUAGUGCACUAUAUAGGGAAUGGGGUGCCAUUUAGGACAGAGCCUAAGAUGGAUGUGCUUUGUACAGAGUUUAAAAUAAAAUAAAAAAUGUUUUUAGAGGGGCGCAUUUUACCCAACUCACUACUAACUAGACCAUUACCAUUAGGCUUGGUCCUGGCCUUGCUUCAGAAGCACAGCUAAACAGUAACUAUCGUUUCCAUUUUAUAUAUAUUUUACAUACAUCCCCAAUGGAUUGUUCUCAGACAUAAAAGGAUAGUUCAGCAAUUUUUUUAUCUAUUUAUUUUUAACAUUUUGAGAUAUAUACAAUGGCUCAACUUUCCAUUUGAAUGAAGAAGGCGAUGAAGUGUAGAAGUGGCGCUCUUUAACAAUGGCAACAAGUUAUUUUGGAUGGGUGAUAUAAUGCCAGAUCAAUUGUUUCCAAUUAUGCUUUGUAGUUUAAUUUUUAUUUACAAACACCCUUAUCUACAAGCGUGGGACCUGGACAUUACACCCUGUCCUAGCUAGGUCCCAUCUUGUUAAUGAUUUCACAAAAUGGUUCUUAAUAUUAUGUGUGCCUGGGAUAAACAUGCCAUGUUUUCAGUUUAGAGUUAUUAGGCUACACCUGACAAAUCAUAACAUUUCUUCUUUAAACUAUCUUUUUAUGGCUUUUUAUUCUUCAGAAACCUGUAUGGCAGUGAGUGUCUAUGUAUGAUCAUUGCAUACCAUGUUGCCAACAACGAUACAGUGUGAUUGAGACUUUUUUUUGUUGCAUGAAACGAGACACUGUUCUCCUACCUCAUGUUGUGAUAUAAAAUGUUUUUUAAGCAGAGGACACUGCGUCUUUAAUCGUGGAUCAUAAUUGAUAUAUACUAGUAAAUGAUGACGACAUACCUGUACUUGCUUUUAGCGAAUACCUCAGUUGUAUAUCUCGUGUUGUGUUUUUCCUCCCGCCCUUAUUUCACAUCUUGUAAAUAUACACUGUAUAAACAAUGAACUUGGAUCACGUUCAAGUAAAGUUCUGUAGUGUCACAA